Molecule: ribosomal RNA, 418 nt
Filed under: uncultured bacterium
Lineage: Bacteria
Description: bacterial SSU rRNA
Rfam family: Bacterial small subunit ribosomal RNA
Source: RNAcentral
UCGAGAAUCUUCGGCAAUGGGCGAAAGCCUGACCGAGCGACGCCGCGUGCGGGAUGAAGGCCUUCGGGUUGUAAACCGCGAAAGUAGGGAGGAAGGCUUCGUGAAGAACGAGGUUUGACCGAUCUACAGUAAGGACGGGCUAAGUACGUGCCAGCAGCCGCGGUAAUACGUACCGUCCAAACGUUAUUCGGAAUUACUGGGCUUAAAGGGUUUGUAGGCGGCGCUGUUAGUCGGGUGUGAAAUCCCAGGGCUCAACCCUGGAACUGCGCCCGAUACUGCAGUGCUUGAGGGAGACAGAGGUAAGCGGAACUGAUGGUGGAGCGGUGAAAUGCGUUGAUAUCAUCAGGAACACCGGUGGCGAAAGCGGCUUACUGGGUCUCUUCUGACGCUGAGAAACGAAAGCUAGGGGAGCGAAGGG